CCAAACAUUCAGAAAUUUGCCAAAGACCAAGGAUCACAAAGAUGAAUCUUCCCGACUUUAGGCCCAGCAUUCUAUCCACUGUGCCACCUAGCUGCUUUGUUGAAACCAUACUGAGAAGCAAUUGAACUCUGCUGAAUUAUAAUGGUCCUGGAGAAUGGAUGAUGUACUUUCCAUGUCCUGGUAAAGAGUCAUUUCAGGAUAGCAUUCUGACCUGCACCUCUGCCUCCAACAAAGAAAAACAAAAGCAAAACCAAUCACCAUAACAACUACAACUACAGUAUUGGACAAAACAUGCAACAUAUCACAGCUGUAGACAUCAGCAAAGAAAGGGAGAUGAGGAAACUGCAGUCCAGAGAAGAGAAAUGAUUAGCCCACAAUCACCCAAGUAGUGAGCAGAAGAAUCAGGAUUUGAACCUAUGUCUUCCAAGUCUAAAUUCAAGAUUCUAUUGCAUCAUUAAAAAUUCUUAUUUUAUUUUUAAUUUGUGGAA
Molecule: non-coding RNA, 488 nt
Organism: Phascolarctos cinereus (koala)
Lineage: Eukaryota; Metazoa; Chordata; Mammalia; Diprotodontia; Phascolarctidae
Source: RefSeq, a predicted model, not a curated record